UACGUAGGGGGCGAGCGUUGUCCGGAAUUAUUGGGCGUAAAGAGCGUGUAGGCGGUUCGGUAAGUCUGCCGUGAAAUCCUGGGGCUCAACCCCGGGCGUGCGGUGGAUACUGCCGGGCUAGAGGGUGGUAGAGGCGAGUGGAAUUCCCGGUGUAGCGGUGAAAUGCGCAGAUAUCAGGAAGAACACCCGUGGCUAAGGCGGUUCUCUAGUACGGUACUGACGCUGAGACGCGAAAGCGUGGGGAGCGAACAGG
Molecule: ribosomal RNA, 253 nt
Filed under: uncultured bacterium
Lineage: Bacteria
Description: partial 16S ribosomal RNA
Rfam family: Bacterial small subunit ribosomal RNA
Source: RNAcentral